AUAAAAUCAUAAAAACAAAGAAUUGUGGCAGAAAUAAAAUGUAAU
Molecule: non-coding RNA, 45 nt
Filed under: Trypanosoma lewisi
Lineage: Eukaryota; Euglenozoa; Kinetoplastea; Trypanosomatida; Trypanosomatidae
Source: RNAcentral